ACGCGAUCAAGAGGACUCACUAUUUUGAGCGCGGCAUCCACAAAGCUCGAUGGCAAAGAUUCAAGCAAUUGUUGUUUUAGUUGGCAUGCUGUUGGUCGCCACGCUUUUGGUUGACAGAACGGCUUGUUUUGUCACAAACACCAAAAGAGAGGAAAUUAAGAUGGUGCGAAUGACGAGAAAGAUCUGUAAAGUAGCAAGAUCCUUAGACUGUGGGAAGGGAGGCCUGCAGAAGAGAGAACUCGGAGAUCUUGAGGAGAGCACCAUAGAAUGAACAUGCCUGGUUAAAAAGAGUAAAUUAGAUUGUAACAAGUGGCGAUUGAUAAAUGCAUAAGUCGACAGAUAAAAGUAAAUUAAAAUAUGUAAAAUGAA
Orbicella faveolata is the source of this 369-nucleotide long non-coding RNA. RefSeq lists it as uncharacterized. The record is from RefSeq and is a predicted model, not a curated record. Lineage: Eukaryota; Metazoa; Cnidaria; Anthozoa; Scleractinia; Merulinidae.